UUUUGUUCCUUUCACAUGGUCUCUCUCCAUUCAGUUCAACCUUUCCAAAAUUAUGCAAUCGUUUCCUUUCUCAAAUUUAUUUCUAAUAGAAAACCCUAAAUGUUUUGCGUCAAGUACAAUCAACAAAAUAACUCAUUAGAUUUCUCUCUGCCCGUUUCAUUAUCUCAAAUUCUUCUUCAAUCGGUAAUUGUUUCAGAAGAAUCCAUCAUAUAUUCUACCUCUUUGUGUACUUUAAUUCGUUAAUCGCAUGUUUUGUAUAUGGUUGGUAACUUGGUAGAAGGGGAGAGAUGCAAUUGGGUAUUUCAACUUCUUCUUCAAUCGGUAAUUAGGUAUUUCAUCAUCACCCCUACAACAAUACCCAGAUUGGCGGUGGAGAAAGACAAUGAUUUUUCUAGGUUUUAGUUUGAUUCCAUGAAGGGAGCACAACUGGAAGAAUCAUCUCAAUGAAGUUGAAGAAAAAACUCGGGUGACGCUACACGACUGCUUCGCCUCCCGUGUAUGUACCGAUAUGGCCUCAAAUUUUAUAGCUCAGAUGAAGGUCGUGUGCAGGUUUUAUGUGAAUGGCCAAGAGAAGGCUCUUCUUUCGGUCCCUGAUCAGUCUAGGUUUUAUAGUGGAGAAUGUUAUAUAUGCUGGUAUAGUUAUCAUGGAGAAGAUCAAGAAGAAUGCUCUAUUGGGACAUGGUUUGGAAAGAAAAAGUGUCGAGGAGCUUUUAACUGCUUUAUGAAUCCAAAACAAGUUGCAUUUGUCGUCUGUCAAAAGGUAUUUUUGUUUAAUCAUUUAUAGCUUCUUGCUGUUAGAUUCAUUUUUGUAAUUGUGUGUAUAUAUAUAUGCAUGGAGAAUGUUAGAACUCCGUUACCUGAUUCAUGUCCAAUAGCGUUUCACAAGCUCAUCCGAUGAUGUUGAUCAAUCAAACUAGAAAAACGAACUCGGUUUGAUGAAAUUGUGAGGAUUCUAGAGAGAUACGCAACAUAUGUGGAAGAAAAUCCUGAUUUCUUGACAACAUUUGAAUGUGGUAAUGGCAGUUCUUUAAAUUGUGACCGUGGAUGUUUUGGUCCCCGUAAAACGGCUUCAGGAAUUAGUCAUGGAUUAUGCUGACUGUGAGCGUGAUCUGUUUAUUCCUUCAUGACGAGAACCGAAGAUUUCUUCAUCUUCAAUCGCUAUUGGAAGCAAUCAGUGAAAUUGAUUGAGAGCAAAAACUAGGGUUAUAGAAUGAGGGGGAAAAUUUAUCGAAUGGAGAAAGUGAUAUCAGGUAGAUUGGUAAAGAGCAAGUGCUAUCUUUCCACUCUUGGUGGCAGUUUUGCCUUUCUAAACUUCAUCUUCAAUCGCAAUUGGAAACAACCUGUUAGUUAGAGACAAAGCAGCCCAAGUUUUGAUUGUUAGAGGUGGGCGGGGGACAACAUUUGGGGGGAUUUUGGUUGGAGGCGAAUACCGACUUCUGAAAAGAGAAACAAGAGACAGCACAAAUGUGUAAUCUACUCAAACAGCAGGAGAUAAAACCAACACAGGAUAUGUGAAAUUGUUAAGUGAAUAUUGCACCAGGGUCAUUGCCUAACAGUCUUGACCCAAGAGAAAAUUUGGGUCUAGAUGUCUUCCAACAUCUUAUCAAUAGAAAAGCAAUGAUUCUUAAAUAUAAGGUUGUUUCGGGCUCGCCAAAUGAACGAACAAGUCGUGUACAACAAUGAGAUCCCAACCUUGAUCCUAUCCUUUGACCCAUCAAAAUCCAGCAGCCAUAUCAAACGAAUUUUGCACCGAGUCUGCCAUGUUCAACACCGUGAACCUAAGCAAAUGUGUCAGAGAUUUGGAGCUUGAGAACACUCUUUUAGAUGGGAGCCCUGAACCACGGCUGAAAAUCUUUUCAUUUUUUUUGUUUAUAUCUGUAAAAGAGAUUACAUGUUUCGUUUAAGUUUUCAUACUAACUGCAAAUUGACAAUUUGCGGAGGUAUUAAUGAUAUCUCAGGCAGAGCUUCGUAUUUACCGAAUUUAUUAAAGCAGGUUACUUCUUUCUUCCUACAGCUGUAG
Helianthus annuus (common sunflower) is the source of this 2020-nucleotide long non-coding RNA. RefSeq lists it as uncharacterized. Lineage: Eukaryota; Viridiplantae; Streptophyta; Magnoliopsida; Asterales; Asteraceae. The transcript is spliced from 8 exons. The record is from RefSeq and is a predicted model, not a curated record.